This 505-nucleotide ribosomal RNA is filed under the name uncultured bacterium. RNAcentral's name for it is "partial 16S ribosomal RNA". It matches the Rfam family "Bacterial small subunit ribosomal RNA", at positions 28 to 507 of the family's 1533-position model. The record is from RNAcentral.
GACGAACGCUGGCGGCGUGCCUAAUACAUGCAAGUAGAACGCACAGUUUAUACCGUAGCUUGCUACACCAUAGACUGUGAGUUGCGAACGGGUGAGUAACGCGUAGGUAACCUGCCUGGUAGCGGGGGAUAACUAUUGGAAACGAUAGCUAAUACCGCAUAAUAUUGAUUAUUGCAUGAUAAUUGAUUGAAAGAUGCUAUUGCAUCACUACCAGAUGGACCUGCGUUGUAUUAGCUAGUAGGUGAGGUAACGGCUCACCUAGGCGACGAUACAUAGCCGACCUGUGAGGGUGAUCGGCCACACUGGGACUGAGACACGGCCCAGACUCCUACGGGAGGCAGCAGUAGGGAAUCUUCGGCAAUGGACGAAAGUCUGACCGAGCAACGCCGCGUGAGUGAAGAAGGUUUUCGGAUCGUAAAGCUCUGUUGUAAGAGAAGAACGGGUGUGAGAGUGGAAAGUUCACACUGUGACGGUAUCUUACCAGAAAGGGACGGCUAACUACGUG